This 253-nucleotide ribosomal RNA is filed under the name uncultured bacterium. RNAcentral describes it as "partial 16S ribosomal RNA". It matches the Rfam family "Bacterial small subunit ribosomal RNA", at positions 524 to 776 of the family's 1533-position model. The record is from RNAcentral.
UACGAAGGGGGCUAGCGUUGUUCGGAAUUACUGGGCGUAAAGCGUGCGCAGGCGGCCAUCCAAGUCAGACGUGAAAUCCCUCAGCUUAACUGGGGAACUGCGUCUGAUACUGGAUGGCUUGGAUUCGGGAGAGGAAUGCGGAAUUCCCGGUGUAGAGGUGAAAUUCGUAGAUAUCGGGAGGAACACCGGUGGCGAAGGCGGCGACCUGGGUAGAUACUGACGCUGAGGCGCGAAAGCCAGGGGAGCGAACGGG